Molecule: non-coding RNA, 45 nt
Organism: Schistosoma mattheei
Lineage: Eukaryota; Metazoa; Platyhelminthes; Trematoda; Strigeidida; Schistosomatidae
Source: Rfam
AUUCAGUUGACGAGUCCUGAAUAGGACGAAAAGCGUGUCCUAAAU